This 445-nucleotide ribosomal RNA is filed under the name uncultured bacterium. RNAcentral's name for it is "partial 16S ribosomal RNA". It matches the Rfam family "Bacterial small subunit ribosomal RNA", at positions 29 to 507 of the family's 1533-position model. The record is from RNAcentral.
AACGAACGCUGGCGGCAGGCUUAACACAUGCAAGUCGAACGAGCUGGGCGCUUCUGUCCCCGAUGCUAGUGGCGCACGGGUGAGUAACACGUGUGAAUAUGCCCUUUAGUACUUAAUAACCAAGUCAAACUUUUGCUAAUACCGUAUACUCCCUUCGGGGGCAAGAUUUAUCGCUAAAGGAUUAUCCCGCGUCUGAUUAGGUAGUUGGUGAGGUAAUGGCUAACCAAGGAGACGAUCAGUAGCUGGUCUGAGAGGAGGAUCAGCCACACUGGGAAUGAGACACGGACCAGAAUGCUACGGGAGGGAGCAGUGGGGAAUAUUAGAGGAUGGGGGCAAACCUGAUACAGCCAUGCCGGGUGAGAGAAGAAGGGCUUCGGGUUGUAAAGCUGUUUGGAAGGGGACGAUGAUGACGGUAACCGUAUAAGAAGCACCGGCAAACUUCGUG